Molecule: ribosomal RNA, 331 nt
Filed under: uncultured bacterium
Lineage: Bacteria
Description: bacterial SSU rRNA
Rfam family: Bacterial small subunit ribosomal RNA
Source: RNAcentral
UGCGCAGGCGGUUUAUUAAGACAGAUGUGAAAUCCCCGGGCUCAACCCGGGAACUGCAUUUGUGACUGAUAGGCUAGAGUGUAGCAGAGGGGGGUAGAAUUCCACGUGUAGCAGUGAAAUGCGUAGAGAUGUGGAGGAAUACCGAUGGCGAAGGCAGCCCCCUGGGUUAACACUGACGCUCAUGCACGAAAGCGUGGGGAGCAAACAGGAUUAGAUACCCUGGUAGUCCACGCCCUAAACGAUGUCAACUAGGUGUUGGGGGAGGAGACUUCCUUAGUACCGCAGCUAACGCGUGAAGUUGACCGCCUGGGGAUACGGCCGCAAGGUUGAA